Molecule: ribosomal RNA, 744 nt
Filed under: uncultured archaeon
Lineage: Archaea
Description: bacterial SSU rRNA
Rfam family: Archaeal small subunit ribosomal RNA
Source: RNAcentral
AUUUCCGGUUGAUCCUGGCGGACCCGACUGCUAUCGGAUUGGGAUUUAGCCAUGUUAGUUGAGCGUUCCUUGGCUACAGGGGACGCAGCGCACGGCUCAGUAACACGUAGUCAACCUGCCCUGGAGACGUGGACAAACCCGGGAAACUGGGGCUGAUCCACGAUAGAUGACCUCAUCUGGAAGGAGAGGUCGUCCAAAAGGCGGCGCGAGUAUGCUUCGCGUUUUCCGCUCUAGGAUGGGACUGCGGCCGAUCAGGCUGUUGGCGGGGUAAUGGCCCACCAAACCUGUAACCGGUACGGGCUUUGAGAGAAGGAGCCCGGAGAUGGACACUGAGACAAGGGUCCAGGCCCUACGGGGCGCAUCAGGCGCGAAAACUUCGCAAUGCGCGAAAGCGUGACGAGGCUAGUCCGAGUGCCUUCCGCUGAGGAGGGCUUUUCUCGGCUGUAAAUAGGCCGGGGAAUAAGGGGAGGGCAAGUCUGGUGUCAGCCGCCGCGGUAAUACCAGCUCCUCGAGUGGUCGGGACGAUUAUUGGGCCUAAAGCACCCGUAGCCUGUUCAGUAAGUCCUCUGUUAAAUCCAAUCGCUCAACGGUUGGCACGCAGAGGAUACUGUUGGACUAGGAGGCGGGAGAGGCGGACGGUACUCCGCGUGUAGGGGUAAAAUCCUUUGAUCCGCGGAAGACCACCAGUGGCGAANGCGGUCCGCCAGAACGCGCUCGACGGUGAGGGGUGAAAGCUGGGGGGAG